This is a non-coding RNA of Maylandia zebra (zebra mbuna), 265 nucleotides long. The record is from RefSeq and is a predicted model, not a curated record. Lineage: Eukaryota; Metazoa; Chordata; Actinopteri; Cichliformes; Cichlidae.
AGCUGAUUGGACUUUACAAAAAGAGGAAAACUGGACGGGUCGGUGAAAGGAUGGAGCAGCUUUUGUUGGCAUAUGGAAAACAGGACAAAAACGACAUCUAUGCAACUAGAACAGCAGCUCUGGCCGGCCUACCAAUGUACCUCAAGGAGGAUUCUUCAGAGAUUUUCAAAACAUGCAAGGAGGAAAUUGAGUUCUAUGAAGCCACAAUUGCUCUGGUUGCUGAUGUCGAUGAAGAGGAGGUGCCUGGAGGAGUUCCUUUCUCACC